AAAAUCUUGAUUCUGAGACUGAGAAGAACAACCUUUUAUAAAAAGGGAAUAUCAUUAAAUCGUAUAUUCGAUCAUUGCGCGCGACUUAAAUAUUAUGCAUAAUAUAGGGUAUAAUAAGCUGAUCACUUGUUAUACUUGCAGAGGGGUAUGAUUUAAUCUUUACGGUUAUCUGAUACACCUGGGUAUAUCAAAGUAUAACUUUGAUAGUUACUCGAGAAGAGAAGUUCAAAGAUCUUGUGUGAUCACUCAGUAUAAAUCUGGAAAACAAUCCACUUUGCAAAUUCGUAGAAUUAAUUCUUGAUUAUUCAAUUGAAUAUAUCGUAGAACCUUGAAAGCGUUGUACCCUUUCAUCAUUACAUUAUUGUGCAGUAUAGAAUACGAGAAGACUUGUUAUUGAAUAACCAUUUGUUCAGCUAUUUCAAAGUUCCCCGAACUUUGGUUUCAUUCUAUCAAAAUAGAUAGUCUGGUGAUUUGAAUACUUAUACAUUUAUUGUAUGUAUUAACUUGCGGGGCAAAUUUGUUGCUCACCCUUGCUAAAUAAAACAUUUCAGCUAGGGACGAAGUGGCAGGAGGUGCUGCGAAGAAUAAAG
This 590-nucleotide long non-coding RNA is filed under the name Panax ginseng (ginseng). RNAcentral describes it as "long non-coding RNA (PGIN_LNC011565)". Lineage: Eukaryota; Viridiplantae; Streptophyta; Magnoliopsida; Apiales; Araliaceae. The record is from RNAcentral.